UGGCCUCUACAAAGCUUCUGGAAUGGUUUCUGCCAUUGGCAAAUGGCUCCGUGCUCCCUGACCAUGAUCUUGGUAAUUUAUUGAGCACCUACUGUAUGCUGGGCCUGUCCUGGGUGCUAGGGAUACAACAGUCAACAAGACACACAGAGUCUCUGCCCUCCUGGAAUACAUAUUCUAGACAGUCAGACACAAACAAGACACAAGGUGAUGUGAGGAGAGGGUCCUGGGGCAGGGGAGAUUCGGGGACUGAGUGGAGAGGGACUCCUGAGGAAGUGAAGGAGGGAACGGAGCUACUCAGACUAUCUGAAGGAAGAGGAGUGGCUCACAUCUAUAAUCCCAGCACUUUGAGAGGCCAAGGUGGGUGGAUCACUCGAGGCCAGGAGUUCGAGACCAGCCUGGCUAACAUGGUAAAACUCCAUCUCUACUAAAAAUACAAAAAUUAGCUGGGCAUGGUGGUGCACACCUGUAAUCCCAGCUACUCGGGAGGCCAAGGCAGGAGAAUCACUUGAACCCAGGUGGCAGAGGUUGCAGUGAGCAGAGAUUGUGCCACUGCACUCCAGCCUGGGCAACAGAGGAAGACUCUGUCUCCAAAAAAAAUGCAUUCCAGAUGGAGAGUAUGGUAAAUGUGCAAAGGUUGGAGGCUGGAAAGAAGGUCAGUGGCCUUGAGCCUGCUGAGGCAGGAAGGAGAGGUGGGUGAGAUUGGCUAGGCUGCCCCAGCAGGUCAGACAGAGCCUUGUGACUCCAGAUGAGGAGGCUAGAUUUUACCGCAAGUCCAUUUAGAAGCCACUGGAGGGUUUCAAGCAGGGAAGUAACAAGAACUAGGCCAGGUGCUCAUGCCUGUAAUCCCAGCACUUCGGAAGGCCAAGGCAGGAAGAUCAUUUGAGCCCAGGAGUUGUAGACUGGCUUGGGCAACAUGGGGAAACCCCAUCUCUACAAAAAAUAGAAAAAUUAGCCAGGUGUGGUGGCACCCACCUGUAGUCCCAGCUACUUAGGAGCCUGAGGUGGGAGGACCGCUUGAGCCCAUGAGGUCAAGACUGCAAUGAGUGAAGAUUGCAACACUGCAUGACAGAGUGAGACCCUGUCUCAAAAAAAAAAAAAAAAAAAAG
This 1106-nucleotide long non-coding RNA is filed under the name Macaca fascicularis (crab-eating macaque). Its description in RNAcentral is "lncRNA (ENSMFAG00000052605.1)". The record is from RNAcentral. Lineage: Eukaryota; Metazoa; Chordata; Mammalia; Primates; Cercopithecidae.